GACGGUUGUAGGAUUGUUCGAUGGCCUUGGAAUCACUACGGUGGGUUUAGUCGAUGACGGGUUGAGGUGUUCUUCCCCCCCUGGACACCAAGAGGACAACACGCGAACCCGUUAUCGAAGCAGAGGUCCCGAUCGACGUGUUGUCCCAACGUUCCGACCGAUAUUUCAGAUUUUGUAGGCAAUGAUGGACCGACCCGAUUGAUGGUUUAGAUUUUGUGGGAAAUGAUAGACCGACUCGAUUGACGGUUUCGAUUUUGUGGGAAAUGAUUGACCGACCCGAUUGACGGUUUUGAUUUUGCGGGAAAUGUUGGACGGAACCGAUUGAUGGUUUCAAUUUUGUGGGAAACGAUGGAUCGACCUGAUUGAUGAUUUUGAUUUCGGGGGAAAUUAUGUAUCGACCCGAUUGACGGUUUUGAUUUUCGCAUCGUGCGGUGCUUUCCUUGGAACCAACGUCGGCUAUAGGUUGCAUUCUUGGCUUUUGUGCUAGGGAUGUGGCUAUUAGUUGGGUGGUUUUAGGGAUUGUCGAUCGUAAAGGUGCAUGAGUUGUGUUUGGUUUGUUACGUGUCGUUGGAUGUCUGCUUAUGCAGCAACGUCGACACGUGCAUACCUCUUCAUUUAUUGUGAAAGCGUGUUUUGCUUUUGCAUGUUGUGGGUUUCUAGCGUUGUGUUCCUGAAUUGUGGCAUUUUAUGGUUUGAACAACGUGUCUUUAAUCAUGUCACACAUACGUGUGCCACGUGAAAAGGCAUGAAGCUAUCUCUUCGACCCACUUCGUCUUUGUCUUUUGCACUGAUGUUGUGGCCUGUUGAGGAAGCUGGUCUCAUGGAUGCGGUGCCUGACUCGGUGAUUUGGUUUUAUUAACCAAUUUGGUUGCCAUAACUAGAUGUUUUUGCCUCUUCUUCAUAUGACCAUCCAUUGUG
Molecule: unclassified non-coding RNA, 918 nt
Filed under: Lychnophora damazioi
Lineage: Eukaryota; Viridiplantae; Streptophyta; Magnoliopsida; Asterales; Asteraceae
Description: partial external transcribed spacer
Source: RNAcentral